This 301-nucleotide ribosomal RNA is filed under the name uncultured bacterium. RNAcentral describes it as "partial 16S ribosomal RNA". It matches the Rfam family "Bacterial small subunit ribosomal RNA", at positions 509 to 807 of the family's 1533-position model. The record is from RNAcentral.
CAGUCGCCACGGGAAUACGAAGGGUGCAAGCGUUAAUCGGAAUUACUGGGCGUAAAGCGUGCGUAGGCGGCUUUUUAAGUCGGAUGUGAAAUCCCUGAGCUUAACCUAGGAAUUGCAUUCGAUACUGGGAAGCUAGAGUGUGGGAGAGGAUGGUAGAAUUCCAGGUGUAGCGGUGAAAUGCGUAGAGAUCUGGAGGAAUACCGAUGGCGAAGGCGGCCAUCUGGCCUAAUACUGACGCUGAGGUACGAAAGCAUGGGGAGCAAACAGGAUUAGAUACCCGUGUAGUCCCUGUCUCUUAUAC